GCCGGGCGCAGUGGCGCAUGCCGGUAGUCUCAGCUACUUGGGAGGCUGAGGUGGAAGGAUUGCUUGAGCCCAGGAGUUCUGGGCUGCAGUGCGCUAUGCUGAUUGGGUAUCCGCACUAAGUUCGGCAUCAAUAUGGUGACCUCCUGGGACCAGGUUGCCUAAGGAGGGGUGAACUGGCCCAGGUUGGAAGCAGAGCAGGUUGAAACUCUUGUGCUGAUCAGUAGUGGGAUCCCGCCUGUGAAUAGCCACUGCACUCCAGCCUGGGCAACAUAGCGAGACCCCAUCUCU
Molecule: signal recognition particle RNA, 288 nt
Filed under: Saimiri boliviensis boliviensis (Bolivian squirrel monkey)
Lineage: Eukaryota; Metazoa; Chordata; Mammalia; Primates; Cebidae
Description: Metazoan signal recognition particle RNA (ENSSBOG00000006415.1)
Rfam family: Metazoan signal recognition particle RNA
About the family: The signal recognition particle (SRP) is a universally conserved ribonucleoprotein.
Source: RNAcentral